AUGGGAUGGAGCUGGAUCAUCCUCUUCCUGGUGACAGCAGCCACAGGUGUCCACUCACAGGUCCAGCUGCAGCAGCCUGGGGCUCAGCUGGGUAGGCCUGGGUCCUCAAUGAAGUUGUCCUGCAAGGCUUCAGGAUACACCUUCACUAGAUACUACUCUAUUACUUGGGUGAAGCAUAAGCCUGGACAGGUCAUGGAGUGGAUUGGAAAGAUUUAUCCUGGAGAUGGUGAUGCUACCUACAAUGAGAGGUUCCAGGGCAAGGCCACACUGACUGUAGACACAUCCUCCAGCACAGCGUAUAUGGAGAUGAGCAGCCUGACAUCUGAGGACUCUGCAGUCUAUUACUGUGCAAGACAAGAACACUGUGUUGCAACCACAUCCUGA
Molecule: non-coding RNA, 384 nt
Organism: Phodopus roborovskii (desert hamster)
Lineage: Eukaryota; Metazoa; Chordata; Mammalia; Rodentia; Cricetidae
Source: the annotation of a RefSeq genome assembly